GUGGGGAAUAUUGCACAAUGGGCGAAAGCCUGAUGCAGCAACGCCGCGUGAGGGACGACGGCCUUCGGGUUGUAAACCUCUUUUAGUAGGGAAGAAGCGAAAGUGACGGUACCUGCAGAAAAAGCACCGGCUAACUACGUGCCAGCAGCCGCGGUAAUACGUAGGGUGCAAGCGUUAUCCGGAAUUAUUGGGCGUAAAGAGCUCGUAGGCGGUCUGUCGCGUCUGCUGUGAAAACUGGAGGCUCAACCUCCAGCCUGCAGUGGGUACGGGCAGAAUAGAGUGCGGUAGGGGAGAUUGGAAUUCCUGGUGUAGCGGUGGAAUGCGCAGAUAUCAGGAGGAACACCGAUGGCGAAGGCAGAUCUCUGGGCCGUAACUGACGCUGGGGAGCGAAAGCGUGGGGAGCGAACAGGAUUAGAUACCCGAGUAGUCC
RNAcentral lists this ribosomal RNA (430 nucleotides) under uncultured bacterium. Its description in RNAcentral is "partial 16S ribosomal RNA". It matches the Rfam family "Bacterial small subunit ribosomal RNA", at positions 354 to 796 of the family's 1533-position model. The record is from RNAcentral.